GUCUUUUUGUUAAUUAUUUAAGGUUUGGCCUGCUCCAUGAUUUAAUUAAAUAGCCGCAGUAUUUUGACUGUGCAAAGGUAGCAUAAUCAUUAGUUUUUUAAUUGAAAGCUGGAAUGAAUGGUCGGAUGAGGAAGAAUCUGUCUCACUCUAAUUUGAUUUGAAUUUUAUUUUUAAGUUAAAAGGCUUAAAUUUUAUAGAAAGACGAGAAGACCCUAUAGAGUUUAAUAGGCUAAUAAGUUGAUUGUUAAAAGAUUUUAGUAUAAUUGAUUUAUUGCUUGUUUUGUUGGGGUGACAAAAGAAUUGAAUUAACUUCUGAUAAUUUUUACAUUAAUUAACGAAUGUGUGAUCCUAAUUUUUGGAUUUAAAGAGAAAAUUACCUUAGGGAUAACAGCGUAAUCUUUUUGGAGAGUUCUAAUCGAUAAAAGGGAUUGCGACCUCGAUGUUGGAUUAAAGUUAAGUUUCGGUGUAGAAGCUGGAAUUUUAAGUCUGUUCGACUUUUAAAACUUUACAUGAUCUGAGUUUAAACCGGCGUGAGCCAGGUUGGUUUCUAUCUUUUAUUAGUAAAAUAUCUUAGUACGAAAGGACCAGAUAUUUAAAUUAUAUUUUUGGUUUGACUAAAAUUGUUAUUUUGGCAGACUAGUGCGAUAGAUUUAGAAUCUUUAUAUGUAAUUUCAUUACAAAUAACAAUUUACUUUUUUGAUUUGAUCUUACUGUUUAUUUCAGCAUUAAUUUUAAUUGUUUGUGUUUUAGUAGGAGUUGCUU
RNAcentral lists this ribosomal RNA (762 nucleotides) under Meloe ibericus. Its description in RNAcentral is "partial large subunit ribosomal RNA". The stretch from base 1 to 591 matches the Rfam family "Archaeal large subunit ribosomal RNA", at positions 1908 to 2987 of the family's 2987-position model. The record is from RNAcentral. Lineage: Eukaryota; Metazoa; Arthropoda; Insecta; Coleoptera; Meloidae.